RNAcentral lists this transfer RNA (72 nucleotides) under Ornithorhynchus anatinus (platypus). It matches the Rfam family "tRNA". From Rfam's summary of the family: Transfer RNA (tRNA) molecules are approximately 80 nucleotides in length. Lineage: Eukaryota; Metazoa; Chordata; Mammalia; Monotremata; Ornithorhynchidae. The record is from Rfam by way of RNAcentral.
AGCAGAGUAGUCUAGUGGAAAGAACAUCCGACUGAGAGUCAGGAGACCUGAGCUUUAAUCUCAGCUCUGCCA